This 463-nucleotide ribosomal RNA is filed under the name uncultured marine bacterium. Its description in RNAcentral is "bacterial SSU rRNA". It matches the Rfam family "Bacterial small subunit ribosomal RNA", at positions 360 to 804 of the family's 1533-position model. The record is from RNAcentral.
AAUAUUGGUCAAUGGUCGAAAGACUGAACCAGCCAUGUCGCGUGAAGGAUGACGGCCCUAUGGGUUGUAAACUUCUUUUGUAUGGGAAGAAAAAGCAGUUUACGGUGUAAUUGUCUGCCCGGUACCAUAUGAAAUAAGGAUCGGCUAAACUCCCGUGCCAGCAGCCCGCGGGUAAAUACGGGAGGAUUUCGAGCGUUAUCCGGAUUUUAUUGGGUUUAAAGGGUCCGUAGGCGGGGCAAAUUAAGUCAGUGGUGAAAUCCCCAGAGCUCAACUCUGGAACUGCCAUUGAUACUGGUUGUCUUGAAUUUAGUUGAGGUGGGCGGAAUACGUUAUGUAGCGGUGAAAUGCAUAGAUAUAACGUAGAACACCGAUUGCGAAGGCAGCUCACUAAACUAAUAUUGACGCUGAUGGACGAAAGCGUGGGGAGCGAACAGGAUUAGAUACCCUGGUAGUCCACGCCGUA